Molecule: ribosomal RNA, 711 nt
Filed under: Flavobacterium sp. L20
Lineage: Bacteria; Pseudomonadati; Bacteroidota; Flavobacteriia; Flavobacteriales; Flavobacteriaceae
Description: bacterial SSU rRNA
Rfam family: Bacterial small subunit ribosomal RNA
Source: RNAcentral
UGGGGAUCCAGAGUUUGAUCAUGGCUCAGGAUGAACGCUAGCGGCAGGCUUAACACAUGCAAGUCGAGGGGUAUGCUUCUUCGGAAGCAGAGACCGGCGCACGGGUGCGUAACGCGUAUGCAAUCUACCUUUUACAGAGGGAUAGCCCAGAGAAAUUUGGAUUAAUACCUCAUAGUAUUAUGAAAUGGCAUCAUUUUAUAAUUAAAGUCACAACGGUAAAAGAUGAGCAUGCGUCCCAUUAGCUAGUUGGUAAGGUAACGGCUUACCAAGGCUACGAUGGGUAGGGGUCCUGAGAGGGAGAUCCCCCACACUGGUACUGAGACACGGACCAGACUCCUACGGGAGGCAGCAGUGAGGAAUAUUGGACAAUGGGCGCAAGCCUGAUCCAGCCAUGCCGCGUGCAGGAUGACGGUCCUAUGGAUUGUAAACUGCUUUUAUACGAGAAGAAACACUGCUACGUGUAGCAGCUUGACGGUAUCGUAAGAAUAAGGAUCGGCUAACUCCGUGCCAGCAGCCGCGGUAAUACGGAGGAUCCAAGCGUUAUCCGGAAUCAUUGGGUUUAAAGGGUCCGUAGGCGGUUUAAUAAGUCAGUGGUGAAAGCCCAUCGCUCAACGGUGGAACGGCCAUUGAUACUGUUAGACUUGAAUUAUUAGGAAGUAACUAGAAUAUGUAGUGUAGCGGUGAAAUGCUUAGAGAUUACAUGGAAUACCA